AUUGAACGCUGGCGGCAUGCCUUACACAUGCGAGUCGAACGGCAGCGGACCUUCGGGUGCCGGCGAGUGGCGACCGGGUGAGUAAUGCAGCGGAACGCACCUUUCAGUGGGGGAUAACGUAGCGAAAGCUACGCGAAUACAGCAUCUUCUGUGGGCAGGAAAGCAGGGGAUCGCAAGACCUUGCGCUGAUUGAGCGGCCGAUGUGAGUUUAGCCAGUUGGUUGGGUAAGGCUCACCAAGGCGACGAUCUGUAGCGGGUCUGAGAGGAUGAGCCGCCACACUGGAACUGAGACACGGUCCAGACUCCUACGGGAGGCAGCAGUGGGGAAUUUUGGACAAUGGGGGCAACCCUGAUCCAGCCAUGCCGCGUGAGUGAAGAAGGCCUUCGGGUUGUAAAGCUCUUUCGGCCGGGAAGAAAUCGCACGGGCUAAUACCCUGUGUGGAUGACGGUACCGGAAUAAGAAGCACCGGCUAACUACGUGCCAGCCGCCGCGGUAA
This 497-nucleotide ribosomal RNA is filed under the name uncultured bacterium. RNAcentral describes it as "partial 16S ribosomal RNA". It matches the Rfam family "Bacterial small subunit ribosomal RNA", at positions 29 to 523 of the family's 1533-position model. The record is from RNAcentral.